This 329-nucleotide long non-coding RNA is filed under the name Manihot esculenta (cassava). Its description in RNAcentral is "long non-coding RNA (MESC_LNC012240)". Lineage: Eukaryota; Viridiplantae; Streptophyta; Magnoliopsida; Malpighiales; Euphorbiaceae. The record is from RNAcentral.
AGAUCUUUCGAGUUUUUCACUAGUUUUCAUCUUGUUUUGAAGAUUUCCGAGUUUUGAGCAAGUUUUGGAGCUUUGAGGUUCAAGAACUCAAAUCUCUUCCAACUCCAAGUUAGAUCGCCUCUACCCUCGAUCUUCAAGAGGUAAGGGUCGAUCUCUAGCUUACUUUAUGUUUUAAGCAAGUUUUAUACAAGUUCAUGGGUUAGAAAAUGCAUGUGUAGCUUAUGUUGAGCUUAUGGGUUUUUGAUGUGAUUUUGAACAAUGUGGCUUGCAAAUGUAUGUUGGAUGUGUGAUAGAUGGGGUUUUAGUUAGUUGAUGCCCCUAGGAACUUG